UACGUAGGGUGCGAGCGUUGUCCGGAAUUAUUGGGCGUAAAGAGCUCGUAGGCGGUGUGUCGCGUCGGCCGUGAAAACCUGGGGCUUAACUCUGGGCGUGCGGUCGAUACGGGCAUCACUAGAGUUCGGCAGGGGAGACUGGAAUUCCUGGUGUAGCGGUGAAAUGCGCAGAUAUCAGGAGGAACACCGGUGGCGAAGGCGGGUCUCUGGGCAAUAACUGACGCUGAGGAGCGAAAGCGUGGGGAGCGAACAGG
Molecule: ribosomal RNA, 254 nt
Filed under: uncultured bacterium
Lineage: Bacteria
Description: partial 16S ribosomal RNA
Rfam family: Bacterial small subunit ribosomal RNA
Source: RNAcentral